Molecule: small RNA, 377 nt
Filed under: Oryza sativa Japonica Group (Japanese rice)
Lineage: Eukaryota; Viridiplantae; Streptophyta; Magnoliopsida; Poales; Poaceae
Description: misc RNA Os10g0113000
Source: RNAcentral
AGCUACUUAGAUACAGUGGAGUAUAUAUCUAAAUAAUCAUGAUGGAUCAUGAUGUGGAUCUAUCUUAAUUAUGUGCGGCAGGCAUGGGCACGGCACCAUUCCCGUACACGUUCUGCGAUCAAUUAAUGUAUGGACCAUACAUGUAUAUUAAUUGCUGUAUACCUAUCCACUUAUUUAAAACACGUCGACACGUUCACGAAAAAUGGUUACUCCCCUGGUAUACAUAUAUAGGUCCAUAGAUGAUGCAUUGCAAAUUUAAUUAGCUACCUAGAAAUUUAUUUAGGAUGCUAAAUUUAAGAUGGUAGAUUUAGUUUAAAUGUAUACGACUCUUGAUCUAUUUUUGUUGGAUUUCACUCCACCCGUGGUUGGGAACUAUU